This 1317-nucleotide long non-coding RNA is filed under the name Bos indicus x Bos taurus (hybrid cattle). RNAcentral's name for it is "lncRNA (ENSBIXG00000009611.1)". Lineage: Eukaryota; Metazoa; Chordata; Mammalia; Artiodactyla; Bovidae. The record is from RNAcentral.
GGGACCCCCCGGGCUGUGGUGUGGGGGACCUUGGACUGUAGUGUGGGGGAUCCCCGGGGCUGUGGUGUGGGCGACCCUCCGGGCUGUGGUGUGAGGGACCCCCCAGAGCCGUGGUGUGGGGGACCCCCUGGGCUGUGGUGUGGGGGACCUUGGACUGUAGUGUGGGAGGCCCCCCGGCUGUGGUGUGGGGCGCCCCCAGGCUGUGGUUUGGGGGACCCCCCGGACUGUGGUGUGGGGGACCUCGGACUGUGGUGUGGGGGACCCCCGGCUGUGGUGUGGGGCGCCCCAGGCUGUGGUGUGGGGGACCCCUCGGACUGUAGUGUGGGGGACCCCCGGCUGUGGUGUGGGGGGACCCCCGGGGCUGUGGUGUGGGCGACCCUCCGGGCUGUGGUGUGGGGGGACCCCCGGGGCUGUGGUGUGGGCGACCCUCCGGGCUGUGGUGUGGGGGACCCGGUGGGGGGGACCCGGGGCCCGAGGAGCCCAGGUGCCUACCGGGCGUGGGUCGGGGGUCUCGUUCUCGGGCAGCUGCAGGUCUGCACCCCUGGCCUGGCGCCUGGGGUCCGAGGGGGACUCAAGGAAGCCACUGAGACGCCUUGUCCGGCCACCAAAGGAGCCACCUCUCUCGGGCCUAACUUCUGCCCAGGCGGUGGGCUGGGCUGCCGGGCAAGUGUCCUGCCCUGUCCCUCCAGGCCCCCGGAACCAGCUGCGGAGCGCGCCCCGGUGGGGAUGGAGCCCGAGCCGCACACUGUUCCUCUCAGGCGGCCCCUCUCGCGGGGCGCCCCCGCCGCGGCCCACCCGGCCCCUCUGCCGCUACGUCCAAGAAAGGCGCGGCGCCGGCUUGUGGAGACUCUUUAUUGUGCUGGGGGUGGGAUGGAGAGGCAGCCGCUCCUCGAGGAGGGCUGGGCCGCGGGCACCGCCAACCCCGCCCGGCUCCAGCUCCUGCGCUGGGUCCCCGCUGGGGUGGGGCUCGCGCCCCUCCCGCCCCGCCCUGCCCAGGGUGGGCAGGGCCUCCAGGGUGGGCGGGGCAUCCGUGAUGUGUGGGCGGGGCCUCCCGAGUCUGCCGGGCGCUGGGCGGCUGUGGUCCAGGCCGGCUCGCGCUCACCUAGGCCAGGACCUCCGCGCACUGGUCUGUGGAAGAGAGCGGAUCCUGAGGAAACGCCCGGCGCCCCCUCCCCACCUCCCCGGGGCAGAGGUCCCGGACCCUCCGCCGAGGGGCCAAGCCCCUCCCCUGCCUGUGAUCCCCUCCUCCCUCCCUGGCCCUCCUGUUGUGCGUCCAGCGCCCGAGGAGUGAGCCUUGGGGCCUCCCGCACCCCCUAA